RNAcentral lists this non-coding RNA (21 nucleotides) under Caenorhabditis elegans. Lineage: Eukaryota; Metazoa; Nematoda; Chromadorea; Rhabditida; Rhabditidae. The record is from RNAcentral.
UGCUGAUUCCUUUAUAAUCCU